GCUUCCGUAGGUGACUGCGGAAGGAUCAUUGUCGAGACUGCCCAGCAGAGGACCGGCGUACACGUUACAACACUCGAGGGGGGGCAAGGGGCGCGAAC
RNAcentral lists this ribosomal RNA (98 nucleotides) under Ficus microcarpa (Chinese banyan). RNAcentral describes it as "partial 18S ribosomal RNA". The record is from RNAcentral. Lineage: Eukaryota; Viridiplantae; Streptophyta; Magnoliopsida; Rosales; Moraceae.